CUCAGAGAACACCACAAAAGACACAAUCCAAAAAGAAAAAGGUCAUUGUUGAGGAUUCAUCUCCUGAGCAAGCUCAAUCCUAUCAUGGAUCUGAAAUUGGAACUGAAGAAUUAAAUGA
Molecule: non-coding RNA, 118 nt
Organism: Arachis ipaensis
Lineage: Eukaryota; Viridiplantae; Streptophyta; Magnoliopsida; Fabales; Fabaceae
Source: RefSeq, a predicted model, not a curated record